Molecule: ribosomal RNA, 446 nt
Filed under: uncultured bacterium
Lineage: Bacteria
Description: partial 16S ribosomal RNA
Rfam family: Bacterial small subunit ribosomal RNA
Source: RNAcentral
CCUACGGGAGGCAGCAGUCGAGAAUCAUUCACAAUGGGGGAAACCCUGAUGGUGCGACGCCGCGUGGGGGAAUGAAGGUCUUCGGAUGGUAAACCCCUGUCAUGUGGGAGCAAAUUAAAAAGAUAGUACCACAAGAGGAAGAGACGGCUAACGCUGUGCCAGCAGCCGCGGUAAUACAGAGGUCUCAAGCGUUGUUCGGAAUCACUGGGCGUAAAGCGUGCGUAGGCUGUUUCGUAAGUCGUGUGUGAAAGGCGCGGGCUCAACCCGCGGACGGCACAUGAUACUGCGAGACUAGAGUAAUGGAGGGGGAACCGGAAUUCUCGGUGUAGCAGUGAAAUGCGUAGAUAUCGAGAGGAACACUCGUGGCGAAGGCGGGUUCCUGGACAUUAACUGACGCUGAGGCACGAAGGCCAGGGGAGCGAAAGGGAUUAGAUACCCUUGUAGUC